CAAUAGCGUAUAUUUAAGUUGUUGCAGUUAAAAAGCUCGUAGUUGGAUUUCGGAUGGGACUUGCCGGUCCGUCGUUUCGAUGUGCACUGGCCAGUCCUAUCUUGUUGUCGGGGACUAGCUCCUGGGCUUCACUGUCUGGGGGUCAGAAUCGGCGAUGUUACUUUGAGUAAAUUAGAGUGUUCAAAGCAAGCUUACGCUCUGAAUAUAAUAGCAUGGGAUAACACGACAGGACUCUGGCCUAUCGUGUUGGUCUAUAGGACCAGAGUAAUGAUUAAGAGGGACAGUCGGGGGCAUUCGUAUUCCGUUGUCAGAGGUGAAAUUCUUGGAUUUACGGAGGACGAACAUCUGCGAAAGCAUUUGCCAAGGAUGUUUUCAUUGA
RNAcentral lists this ribosomal RNA (379 nucleotides) under uncultured eukaryote. RNAcentral's name for it is "partial 18S ribosomal RNA". It matches the Rfam family "Eukaryotic small subunit ribosomal RNA", at positions 592 to 976 of the family's 1831-position model. The record is from RNAcentral.